ACUACGAAUUCGACCGUGUGUACGGUAUAAUAUAUUAUUAUUAUUAUUAUAAUCGUGUUUUCGGAGGAAUUGUUGAAUAUUACGCGGCCGUACGGUAGGUAUAACGUCGUUUUUGCAACACUUUUCGCGUCUUUACGGUCAUAGUGCGGAACGCGAAAUGUAAAUAUCGGGAAUACCUCUGUCCUCUACCUGUUUUUCGCAAACCGCAUCACAGAAAUAAUGUAUAAUACCAAAACGGGCAAAACGUGUAAUCGAUACGUUUGAAUUUCGGCCGAACACUGCAAUAAUAAUAAUUAUUGCACGUGUCAUCAUCUGCUGUGGCGCUGCUACCCGUUAACAACGGCCGACAUCUUACCUAUAAAUCGGAGAGAGUAUAAAACGUGUGCACUCAAUCGAUAGGCGUAUUAUAAGAGAGAAUAAAAUAUAUUGGGUUAUUGUCAUACUUCUGGACUUCAAGGACUACAAAUUACAGUAGUUCAAAACGAUACUAAUAAUCUAUCAAAUAGUACAACUGUACAGUUUUGUUUUUGGCCACUUGGUCGAGUAACCAAUAAAGAUGCAUGUUAUGAUGUAUUUCACGCAGUCAAGUAUAUUAUAUACUAAACUGUAUUUGAAAAUUUUAUCGCCCAGAAAAGCAAAAGUACAGCGAAAGAGUUUAGGAUCAAAAAGUUAAAAAGUUCUCCAACUACCGCCAUAGAAGUUAAAACACUGGGGUGCAAAAGAUUCAAAACAUUUCUUGAGUAUAGGUUCAUAAACGUACAUACUACAAAACCUAUAUAAUAUGUUAGUUUUCCAUCUGUCAACUAUAAAAAAAAUAUAAGUAAGUACUACACAUUUAAUUAUUUUAUGCUAGGUUUUUUUCCUUAGGAAAUAAAACAUAAUCAUUCUUACCAAAAUUAUUAACCACGUAUCUCAACUCUA
Molecule: long non-coding RNA, 921 nt
Organism: Rhopalosiphum padi (bird cherry-oat aphid)
Lineage: Eukaryota; Metazoa; Arthropoda; Insecta; Hemiptera; Aphididae
Exons: 3
Source: RefSeq, a predicted model, not a curated record